This 610-nucleotide ribosomal RNA is filed under the name fungal sp. ARIZ L90. Its description in RNAcentral is "eukaryotic LSU rRNA". The stretch from base 222 to 375 matches the Rfam family "5.8S ribosomal RNA". Lineage: Eukaryota; Fungi. The record is from RNAcentral.
UGGAAGUAAAAGUCGUAACAAGGUCUCCGUUGGUGAACCAGCGGAGGGAUCAUUACAGAGUUGAAAAACUCCCAAAACCACCUGUGAACAUACCUCAGUCGUUGCUUCGGCGGGCGGCUCCCAGGGGAGGAGCCGUAGCCCCGGGAAGGGGCGCCCGCCGGGGGACCAACCCAAACUAUGUUAAUAUUCAGUGGCAUCUGAGUCGGUACGGAAUAAGUCAAAACUUUCAACAACGGAUCUCUUGGCUCUGGCAUCGAUGAAGAACGCAGCGAAAUGCGAUACGUAAUGCGAAUUGCAGAAUCCAGUGAGUCAUCGAAUCUUUGAACGCACAUUGCGCCCGCCAGCAUUCUGGCGGGCAUGCCUGUCCGAGCGUCAUUUCCACCCUCGAGCCCCCGGGCUCGGUGUUGGGGCUUCCCUACGGCUGCCGUAGGCCCCGAAAUACAGUGGCGGACCUUCCGGCACUCCGGGCGCAGUAGUUACAUCUCGCCUUCUGGAGGAGCCGGGCGGGCCUCUGCCUAGACACCAACCCCGCCCCCGCGGCGGACGCUAUGGUUGACCUCGGAUCAGGUAGGAAUACCCGCUGAACUUAAGCAUAUCAAUAAGCGGAGGA